GACAUAGGGRGGRRRRRACUAACAAGGAUUCCCCUAGUAACUGCGAGKRARSSGGGAAAAGCUCAAAUUWAAAAUCUGGUGGUCUUUGGCCAUCCGAGUUGUAAUCUAGAGAAGUGUUACCCGCGUCGGACCGUGUACAAGUCUCCUGGAAUGGAGCGUCAUAGAGGGUGAGAAUCCCGUCUUUGACACGGACUACCGAGGCUUUGUGGUGCGCUCUCAAAGAGUCGAGUUGUUUGGGAAUGCAGCUCAAAAUGGGUGGUAAAUUCCAUCUAAAGCUAAAUAUUGGCGAGAGACCGAUAGCGAACAAGUACCGUGAGGGAAAGAUGAAAAGAACUUUGGAAAGAGAGUUAAACAGUACGUGAAAUUGCUGAAAGGGAAACGCUUGAAGUCAGUCGCGUCGGCCGGAAAUCAGCCUUGCUUUAGUGGGGUGUACUUUCUGGUUGACGGGCCAGCAUCAGUUUUGACCGGUGGAAAAAGUCUAGAGGAAUGUGGCAUCUUCGGGUGUGUUAUAGCCUCUGGUCGUAUACAUCGGUUGGGACUGAGGAACGCAGUUUAUACUUCGGAUGCUGGCAUAAUGGCUUUAAUCGACCCGUCUUGAAACACGGACCAAGGAGUCUAACAUGCCUGCGAGUAUUUGGGUGGAAAACCCGAGUGCGCAAUGAAAGUGAAAGUUGAGAUCCCUGUCGCGGGGAGCAUCGACGCCCGGACCUGAAGUUCUCUGACGGUUCUGCGGUAGAGCAUGUAUGUUGGGACCCGAAAGAUGGUGAACUAUGCCUGAAUAGGGUGAAGCCAGAGGAAACUCUGGUGGAGGCUCGUAGCGAUUCUGACGUGCAAAUCGAUCGUCAAAUUUGGGUAUAGGGGCGAAAGACUAAUCGAMCMUCYAAUWYUGUCCGCGAGGCCCCCC
RNAcentral lists this ribosomal RNA (904 nucleotides) under Narcissea lahorensis. Its description in RNAcentral is "partial large subunit ribosomal RNA". Lineage: Eukaryota; Fungi; Basidiomycota; Agaricomycetes; Agaricales; Psathyrellaceae. The record is from RNAcentral.